UCCCAAAUAGCUCAGUUGGUUAGAGCAUCUGACUGUUAAUCAGAGGGUCGCUGGUUCAAGUCCAGCUUUGGGAG
This 74-nucleotide transfer RNA is filed under the name Mesotaenium endlicherianum. RNAcentral's name for it is "tRNA-Asn (GTT) (tRNA-Asn-GTT-4-1)". It matches the Rfam family "tRNA". Rfam says of the family: Transfer RNA (tRNA) molecules are approximately 80 nucleotides in length. The record is from RNAcentral. RNAcentral also lists the same sequence under 13 other names. Lineage: Eukaryota; Viridiplantae; Streptophyta; Zygnematophyceae; Zygnematales; Mesotaeniaceae.